Molecule: ribosomal RNA, 506 nt
Filed under: uncultured bacterium
Lineage: Bacteria
Description: partial 16S ribosomal RNA
Rfam family: Bacterial small subunit ribosomal RNA
Source: RNAcentral
AGUGAACGCUGGCGGUAGGCCUAACACAUGCAAGUCGAACGGCAGCACAGGAGAGCUUGCUCUCUGGGUGGCGAGUGGCGGCCGGGUGAGGAAUACAUCGGAAUCUACGCUGUCGUGGGGGAUAACGGAGGGACACUUACGCUAAUACCGCAUACGACCUACGGGUGAAAGCAGGGGACCUUCUGGCCUUGCGCGAUUGAAUGAGCCGAUGUCGGAUUAGCUAGUUGGCGGGGUAAAGGCCCACCAAGGCGACGAUCCGUAGCUGGUCUGAGAGGAUGAUCAGCCACCCUGGAACUGAGACACGGUCCAGACUCCAACGGGAGGCAGCAGUGGGGAAUAUUGGACAAUGGGCGCAAGCCUGAUCCAGCCAUACCGCGUGGGUGAAGAAGGCCUUCGGGUUGUAAAGCCCUUUUGUUGGGAAAGAAAUCCAGCUGGCUAAUACCCGGUUGGGAUGACGGUACCCAAAGAAUAAGCACCGGCUAACUUCGUGCCAGCCGCCGCGGUAA